GGGGGGCAGCCGAGGGCCGCGCCGCCCCGGCCCUCCAGGCUCACUGCUCCGCGUGCGGGCGCCCGCAGCCCAAGCCGGGGCUGACGAAGGGAGGGGCUCACGCUGGCCGCGGGCCUGGACGCCAGCCUGGUCCUGAUUUGCCCGCCCCUCCCUUCAUCCCGCCAGAGGCUCCGCCCUUCUCGUGAGAGCUUGGGGACCCCCACCCCAAUCUGCUUCCGUUCCCCAACUUCCUACCUCUCGCCCAGCGCGGUCACCCUGGGAGCCCCGGUCUGUCUGGGGAGCCGCCCCAGGCUGCCUGCUCUGUGCUCACCGCUAGGUGUUGUUCCUGGCGCUGCCCCUCCGGCAGAGGGAGGACAGGGCAGGCCCAGGGGCAGCGCCGGAGCCGCCUCGGGUCAGGCCAGCACUGGGGAGGCAGAGCUGACGCCUGCGGGGGCCUCGGAGGAGAGGGAAAACCAGCUUCUCAGUCCGGAAACAGCUUCCCCUGCCAGUGGGCACCUCUGUGGCCCCUCGCCCAGGCUGGAAGCUGGGGGUUGGUCUUGGGAAGACCAUGGGCACAUGGGGGAGCCGCGGAGGCCAGGGUGCAGUCAGGGGGACUAAGCCUCCCUGCUGGCAGCUCCAGGCUGGGAAACUGAAGGAGGCUGGGGCUCCGAGUUCGGCCGGGGAUCUCGUCUAGAAGAAAGGUAAGAGUAGACACCUCCUCGGAGGCACACCCCACCCUCGCACUGAGCCCCCUUUUUUAUAUUGUUCUUUUGAGACAGGAUCUCACUAAGUCCCUAGCUCGCCCAGGCUGGACUCAAACUUACAAUCCUCCUGCCUCAGCCUCCCAGAGUCUGGGAUUACAGGCCUGUACCACUGCACUGGCAAGGAGAUCUUCUCCAGCCCUUCCUGAGCAGAACGGCAGAGAGAAUGGUGGACCCAAGCCCUGGGGGUGGCGCUGAGAGCCCAGCAGAAGGGAGCCGGCCUUAGUACCAGGACAGUCUGGGGAGUGCCAGGCUGCCCCUUGUCUGUCACCCUGGACCUGCUGUUGGCUCCAAGGACGCUGGGGCUCGGAGGAUCCAGGAUCUGAGGCAGGCAGCCCUCCCCCGCCUCCCCCACCCUAGACAGCGCUCCAGAACUGCUGAGAUGAAUCUCCGGAGCUUCGUGGUUCUGGCCUGUGUUCCUGAUUAAAGUCCCUGGGUGGCCUGCACCACAAAUCACAGAGUCUGCUCUGGGAGAGCUGCAGGUUGGGAGCCAACAGCGGGGCCGGGGCCCUGUUACACAGGCACACUCCCCGAGCGGUGUGGGCGUGGACGCCAUACUGGAAGAUGUUCCUCGGUGUUGUCCCACGGAGGUGCUGGCCCCCUCUCCAGGCAGCGUGUGGCCCUGUCCUCCACGUGGUCUUCCAGGAGCCCUGUGCCCACUUUGUAGUGGGCUGCACUGCAGACUGGCUCUGUUGGUCCUUGUGUCUUCCAUCUGGCAGGAGGGCGAGCUGUGUUCGCACGGGAGGUAUCUCAAAUGUCGCUCCUCUCUGCCACGUUGACCUCUAGGUCUUACCCCGGCAGCAGUCUUAUGGGUCAAGGGCAGCUCGGGCAGAGCUCCCAGAGCGUCCACGCUCAGCCCAGGAGCACAGCUGACCUUUCCCUGCCCCCUUCCCACAGCCUGACUUCCAUUCUCAUCUGGGACACAACUGGGUACAGAGUGGGCACAGCUGGGCCAGAAGAGACACAGCUGAGGAACCAGGAGGACAAAAGCUCGCUUGUACACAGGCCCUGAGAAGCAGCCCCUUCCCUACCCUGGCGAGGUGGGCUUCCUGCCCGCCCCUCAUGCACAUUCAUAACAUUCAAAUUUAUGCCGUAAUCUCCGCCGCUCCAUAUGUAUGAGCCUUUGACGGGUGUUUGGGUGUAUGGGAUGCACCCGGCCCUCCUUCCCUCACCCGCCCACCGCCUCCAACCGCUGCAAAGAUGCUUGUACAUAAUUGACAUCGGCAGAUUCUUUCAUUAUACAAGAUUUAGCAUCUGCUCGGGGAUGCUUGCUCCUCACUCACUGUAGAUGACUUUCCCCGCGUUUCCUAUUAUCAAUUCAAAUUAGCCCCAUUUCCCCACCCGACCAGCGCAGCAUCUACACUCGACAGUGAGGAAACAGCAAGGCUGUAAUGGGCUCCUCAAUUAUUUAGGCCCAGUUAGACCAGGGCCUAGGAGGCCUCAACAGGGGUGUGCUGGGGUGGGGUCCUGCAGGAGGAACAGGGCAGUGGCUCCUGGGAUAGACCCCCACCCCUCACAUCCGGGUGUCUAAAGGCUGAGCAGCCCCCUCCCCAGAUUUGCUGGACAGGAGCCCCCAAUGGGAUGCUAGCAAUAAACCAAAGUAGCCAUGACUGGUAGCAGCUGGGCCUCCCCUAAGAUGUCUCUCCACGGUAGGGGGGUCCCCAUGAAGGUGUGAGGGCGGCCCCAGAUCCCAGAGACCGGCGAAAGGGAUGGAAAUCAAGUGCCUGACCCCAGGAAAGCAAGAGACCUCGAGCUGGAGAGAUGCUGGAGAGCCCAGGGCCUUAGGGACGAAGCAGGGCCUUGGGAGAGGAGGCCCCAAGCCGAGGGCCCUGGGGGAGCUCCUUCCUGCAGCCACAGGGCCCUGCGGGCUGCACAGAGCUGUAACUAGGUCAGCGCUGCCUCCCUGCUGCUCUGACUCCGCCAGGCCCAGCCUCCUGCAAUAACUCUUGGGCCCAGUGGCUAGUCGGGGAUCUUGGCCUCUCCUGAGCCCUCUAAAUGCCCCAGUACAAGGGCACAAACUCCAAGCCAGCCCUGAGAUUCCAAACCCGGAUCCUCUGGAGCCAGCUCAGCUCCUCCCAGCCCUGCGCUCCGCCCAUGGCCACGCCUCGCGCUCCUCCCCUCCGCGUUGCUCUCCUCUCCAGGGCUGUGCCGGGGGAGCAGGCGGGCAGGGGUCGGGGGCUCUGGGAUUGGAAGAGCCUUUCCCAUGUUCAGCCUCAGCAGAACCCACAAAUUCCUCCACCUGAUUGGAUUUACCCUAAGUCGCAGGCAUGUGGGACCUCCUUUCCCCCAGCAACAGCUGGAAACAGCCCUAAAUAUGAUUAAUUAACACUGUAAAAAGCCCCGACACAAUUAAGAUU
Molecule: long non-coding RNA, 3097 nt
Organism: Chinchilla lanigera (long-tailed chinchilla)
Lineage: Eukaryota; Metazoa; Chordata; Mammalia; Rodentia; Chinchillidae
Exons: 3
Source: RefSeq, a predicted model, not a curated record